This 233-nucleotide ribosomal RNA is filed under the name uncultured bacterium. RNAcentral describes it as "partial 16S ribosomal RNA". It matches the Rfam family "Bacterial small subunit ribosomal RNA", at positions 109 to 334 of the family's 1533-position model. The record is from RNAcentral.
AGGAACGCGUAGGUAAUCUACCCUUUGCGGGGGACGAACAUUCCGAAAGGAAUGCUAAUACCGCGUAAGACCACGCUCACUACGGUGAAAGCGGUUAAAGGUGCCUCAAAGCACCACCAGAGGAUGAGCCUGCGUCCCAUCAGCUUGUUGGUAAGGUAAUGGCUUACCAAGGCGAAGACGGGUAGCUGGUCUGAGAGGAUGAUCAGCCACACUGGCACUGGAACACGGGCCAG